This 349-nucleotide long non-coding RNA is filed under the name Phoenix dactylifera (date palm). RNAcentral describes it as "long non-coding RNA (PDAC_LNC000836)". Lineage: Eukaryota; Viridiplantae; Streptophyta; Magnoliopsida; Arecales; Arecaceae. The record is from RNAcentral.
UUGGUUUUUGCUUCAGAUGCGGCCUUAUUGAUGCGAGACACGCAUUCCUUGGUUAUAUUUUCCAACAGCUCUUGGGCCUUACCCUUUACGGGCUCCCCAUCUUUGGUCUCCUCUUUUACGUGCUCCCCUGUGAUGCAAUGGUAAACAAUUGCGGCUUUCAACGGCAAGCAUUUCUUCCAAUUGGUGCUUUCUCCGGCUUUCUGAUAGGUGGCGAAGUGGAUGGUUGUCGGCUCAAAUUCAUCGAACUUGGCCAUUUUCAUGCACUUGUAAGCUAAGGACUGCCGAAGCUGUUCGAGGCCCGAGUUUGGGUAUCUCGACAUUGCGCAGAGGAAUUUGCAAUGUCUUCUGG